This 348-nucleotide ribosomal RNA is filed under the name Triticum aestivum (bread wheat). RNAcentral's name for it is "partial small subunit ribosomal RNA". The record is from RNAcentral. Lineage: Eukaryota; Viridiplantae; Streptophyta; Magnoliopsida; Poales; Poaceae.
AGUUUUUCUUUCACUUGUAAUAAGACCAACGGUCACACUUGUCAUGCGUGUCGUCUAGGCAAACAUACUCGGCUUCCUUUUAGCACUUCCUCGUCAGUUGCAUCGUAUCCGUUUGAACUACUUCAUAGUGAUGUGUGGACUUCUCCAGUUGCGAGUAAUACCGGCUACACCUAUUAUCUUGUCAUUUUAGAUGAUUUUUCGCACUAUGUGUGGACCUUCCCGUUGCGGCGGAAAUCCGAUGUCAUAUCCAUUCUCACCGCCUUUUACUCCUAUGUCACCACCCAGUUUGGUCGCCCCAUCCACGCUAUCCAAACCGACAACGGGAAGGAGUUCGACAACCUCGCGGUU